UGCCAGCCGCCGCGGUAAUACGGAGGGUCCGAGCGUUAUCCGGAAUCAUUGGGUUUAAAGGGUCCGCAGGCGGCCAAUUAAGUCAGAGGUGAAAUCCCAUCGCUCAACCCGGGAAGGGCUUUUGAUACUGUAGAACUUGAGUGUAGGAGAGGAUAGUAGAAUUCCUGGUGUAGUGGUGAAAUACGUAGAUAUCAGGAGGAAUACCGGUGAGGAAGCUGGCUGUCUGGCCUAACACUGACACUCAUACCCGAAAGCGUGGGGAGCAAACAGGAUUAGAUA
RNAcentral lists this ribosomal RNA (279 nucleotides) under uncultured bacterium. RNAcentral describes it as "partial 16S ribosomal RNA". It matches the Rfam family "Bacterial small subunit ribosomal RNA", at positions 506 to 784 of the family's 1533-position model. The record is from RNAcentral.